This 72-nucleotide transfer RNA is filed under the name Candidatus Wolfebacteria bacterium. Its description in RNAcentral is "tRNA-Val". It matches the Rfam family "tRNA". Rfam says of the family: Transfer RNA (tRNA) molecules are approximately 80 nucleotides in length. Their secondary structure includes four short double-helical elements and three loops (D, anti-codon, and T loops). Further hydrogen bonds mediate the characteristic L-shaped molecular structure. tRNAs have two regions of fundamental functional importance: the anti-codon, which is responsible for specific mRNA codon recognition, and the 3' end, to which the tRNAs corresponding amino acid is attached (by aminoacyl-tRNA synthetases). tRNAs cope with the degeneracy of the genetic code in two manners: having more than one tRNA (with a specific anti-codon) for a particular amino acid; and 'wobble' base-pairing, i.e. permitting non-standard base-pairing at the 3rd anti-codon position. The record is from RNAcentral. Lineage: Bacteria; Candidatus Wolfeibacteriota. RNAcentral also lists the same sequence under 1 other name.
GGGCUCGUAGCUCAGUGGUAGAGCGUUCCGUUCACAUCGGAAAGGUCAGAGGUUCGAUCCUUCUCGAGCCCA